AAACACAUUGAAGAACUGAGUACUUCUCUUAGGAGUAGGCCGAGCUGUGCUUCAGAAGAACCAUCAGUGCCGUCACAUGAGCAAACCAGGCAAAGCACUGCUGCCAGUCCAGCCCAAAGAAAGAAAGCAUUACAUGCAGAUCAAAGAAACUCAAGUCUGCUGCAAUUCCUGAGCCGUGGUGUGAAAUUUAGGGAAGAAAGCCCAGAGGAAGGAGUGUCUCCAGAGGAAAAGAGUUUUUCUGUCAAAAAGGGUGUGAAAUGUUCAACCAUUUUCAAAGGCAAGUUGACAGAACAAGAAGCUCUGACUGGGGAAGAUGAUCUGAAAAUGCAGAGUGUGAAAGGGGCAUCUGAAAGCUCUCUAGAUGUCCCUUCAGCUCUUUGGUUAAAGACCCAUGGCUUGGCUGCUAGGCGACUCACCAUCAUGGAUGCCUUAGCUCCUACAACUGUCCUUCACAGUACAAAAUAUAUCCCAG
Molecule: long non-coding RNA, 472 nt
Filed under: Serinus canaria (Common canary)
Lineage: Eukaryota; Metazoa; Chordata; Aves; Passeriformes; Fringillidae
Description: lncRNA (ENSSCAG00000016754.1)
Source: RNAcentral